UCAUCAACUAAUGAAACAUCCCUCAUCGUUUUUCUGGGAAAAUGAACUGCAUAGAAAUCUUUUUCGUCGUUUGCUUCACACUGACGAUUGUGCAGUGUAGCGCAGAGGAUAAUGGUUGUCCGGCCGGCGUCAACCCUGGCGAGUCCUGGUUUGAAGAGGGUUGUAUCAAGUGCGACUGUUACGAAGAUUGGUCGGGAUGCGUCAACUGCCCUACGAUGGCCGUGGAAGAUAACUGUGAGGUCUUCUACGACACAGAGGGAGACUAUCCCGAUUGUUGUACACCAAGGGUAGUCUGUAAUGAAGAGAAGAAAUAAACAGUGUAAUGUAGAACACGGACUCAUCUGAAAUAAAGAUAUACUGCAAACAGUA
Molecule: long non-coding RNA, 369 nt
Organism: Physella acuta
Lineage: Eukaryota; Metazoa; Mollusca; Gastropoda; Physidae
Source: RefSeq, a predicted model, not a curated record